RNAcentral lists this ribosomal RNA (497 nucleotides) under uncultured bacterium. RNAcentral's name for it is "partial 16S ribosomal RNA". It matches the Rfam family "Bacterial small subunit ribosomal RNA", at positions 28 to 507 of the family's 1533-position model. The record is from RNAcentral.
GAUGAACGCUGGCGGCGUGCCUAAUACAUGCAAGUCGAGCGAACAGACGAGGAGCUUGCUCCUCUGACGUUAGCGGCGGACGGGUGAGUAACGCGUGGAUAACCUACCUAUAAGACUGGGAUAACUUCGGGAAACCGGAGCUAAUACCGGAUAAUAUAUUGAACCGCAUGGUUCAAUAGUGAAAGACGGUUUUGCUGUCACUUAUAGAUGGAUCCGCGCCGCAUUAGCUAGUUGGUAAGGUAACGGCUUACCAAGGCAACGAUGCGUAGCCGACCUGAGAGGGUGAUCGGCCACACUGGAACUGAGACACGGUCCAGACUCCUACGGGAGGCAGCAGUAGGGAAUCUUCCGCAAUGGGCGAAAGCCUGACGGAGCAACGCUGCGUGAGUGAUGAAGGUCUUCGGAUCGUAAAACUCUGUUAUUAGGGAAGAACAAAUGUGUAAGUAACUAUGCACGUCUUGACGGUACCUAAUCAGAAAGCCACGGCUAACUACGUG